UUUGAUCCUGGCUCAGGACGAACGCUGGCGGCGUGCUUAACACAUGCAAGUCGAACGGUGACGACCAGCUUGCUGGUCUGAUCAGUGGCGAACGGGUGAGUAACACGUGAGCAACCUGCCCCUGACUCUGGGAUAACGACCGGAAACGGUCGCUAAUACCGGAUAUGAGACGUACAGGCAUCUGUUGCGUCUGGAAAGUUUUUCGGUCAGGGAUGGGCUCGCGGCCUAUCAGCUUGUUGGUGGGGUAACGGCCUACCAAGGCGACGACGGGUAGCCGGCCUGAGAGGGCGACCGGCCACACUGGGACUGAGACACGGCCCAGACUCCUACGGGAGGCAGCAGUGGGGAAUAUUGCACAAUGGGCGCAAGCCUGAUGCAGCGACGCCGCGUGAGGGAUGACGGCCUUCGGGUUGUAAACCUCUUUCAGCAGGGAAGAAGCGCAAGUGACGGUACCUGCAGAAGAAGCGCCGGCUAACUACGUGCCAGCAGCCGCGGUAAUACGUAGGGCGCAAGCGUUGUCCGGAAUUAUUGGGCGUAAAGAGCUCGUAGGCGGUUUGUCGCGUCUGCUGUGAAAACCUUAGGCUCAACCUGGGGCUUGCAGUGGGUACGGGCAGACUAGAGUGCGGUAGGGGUGACUGGAAUUCCUGGUGUAGCGGUGGAAUGCGCAGAUAUCAGGAGGAACACCGAUGGCGAAGGCAGGUCACUGGGCCGCAACUGACGCUGAGGAGCGAAAGCAUGGGGAGCGAACAGGAUUAGAUACCCUGGUAGUCCAUGCCGUAAACGUUGGGCACUAGGUGUGGGGCUCAUUCCACGAGCUCUGUGCCGCAGCAAACGCAUUAAGUGCCCCGCCUGGGGAGUACGGCCGCAAGGCUAAAACUCAAAGAAAUUGACGGGGGCCCGCACAAGCGGCGGAGCAUGCGGAUUAAUUCGAUGCAACGCGAAGAACCUUACCAAGGCUUGACAUACACCGGAAAAGUGCAGAGAUGUGCUCCCCGUAAGGUCGGUGUACAGGUGGUGCAUGGUUGUCGUCAGCUCGUGUCGUGAGAUGUUGGGUUAAGUCCCGCAACGAGCGCAACCCUCGUCCCAUGUUGCCAGCGGGUUAUGCCGGGGACUCAUGGGAGACUGCCGGGGUCAACUCGGAGGAAGGUGGGGAUGACGUCAAAUCAUCAUGCCCCUUAUGUCUUGGGCUUCACGCAUGCUACAAUGGCCGGUACAAAGGGCUGCGAUACCGCGAGGUGGAGCGAAUCCCAAAAAGCCGGUCUCAGUUCGGAUUGGGGUCUGCAACUCGACCCCAUGAAGUCGGAGUCGC
RNAcentral lists this ribosomal RNA (1309 nucleotides) under Cellulomonas sp. RNAcentral's name for it is "bacterial SSU rRNA". It matches the Rfam family "Bacterial small subunit ribosomal RNA", at positions 12 to 1335 of the family's 1533-position model. Lineage: Bacteria; Bacillati; Actinomycetota; Actinomycetes; Micrococcales; Cellulomonadaceae. The record is from RNAcentral.